GGAUUAGGCAUGCAAGUCGUGCGCGAUAAGUUUGGUGCUUGCAUUAAACUUUGAAAGCGGCGAAAGGGAGAGUAACGCGUGGAUCAUCUACCCUCGGGUCUGGGAUAGCUGCGGGAAACUGCAGGUAAUACCGGAUGAUGUCCCUGGACCAAAGGUGUAAUUCCGCCUGAGGAUGAGUCCGCGUCCUAUUAGUUAGUUGGUGGGGUAAUGGCCCACCAAGACAAAGAUGGGUACCGGGUGUGAGAGCAUGGCCCGGCUCACUGGGACUGAGACACUGCCCAGACACCUACGGGUGGCUGCAGUCGAGAAUCUUCCGCAAUGGACGAAAGUCUGACGGAGCGACGCCGCGUGCGGGAUGAAGGCCUUCGGGUUGUAAACCGCUGUCAGUUGGGAGGAAAUACAUAAGGGUUCUCUCUUAUGUUUGACCGAUCUUCAGAGGAAGUCCGGGCUAAGUUCGUGCCAGCAGCCGCGGUAAUA
Molecule: ribosomal RNA, 477 nt
Filed under: uncultured bacterium
Lineage: Bacteria
Description: bacterial SSU rRNA
Rfam family: Bacterial small subunit ribosomal RNA
Source: RNAcentral